UCUGCUGUCUGAAACACCAUGAAGCCUGAAUGGACCCUCUUUUCUCUGUGGUUCCUCAUCUUUUCCAUGAUCCUCCGCACACUUUCAGGGGAAGCAAUUCCUCUACCACUCAGAAAAGAAUUGUGUGAAAGUGGACAUCUUGGAGUCAAACCAGAAUACUGCAACUAUCCUCCAGUGGCGGGCACCUGUAAGUUAAGUUUGACCAGAUUCUAC
Long non-coding RNA from Lemur catta (Ring-tailed lemur), 213 nucleotides. RefSeq lists it as uncharacterized. The transcript has 3 exons. NCBI's taxonomy places the organism in Eukaryota, Metazoa, Chordata, Mammalia, Primates, Lemuridae. The record is from RefSeq and is a predicted model, not a curated record.